This is a non-coding RNA of Tetranychus urticae (two-spotted spider mite), 7522 nucleotides long. The record is from RefSeq and is a predicted model, not a curated record. Lineage: Eukaryota; Metazoa; Arthropoda; Arachnida; Trombidiformes; Tetranychidae.
GGUAAAAUUGUUUAGCGGUUUUUUCACAAUUUACAAUUUUAGCUUCAAUUAAUUCUUGUUUUGCUAUUUUGUUAUUUUGAGUUAUUUAUUGUUUAUUUAUAACUGUUUUUCAACAUUUCUGUCUAUUGCUUGAUUUUCAUCCAGCUCAGUUAACAUAACCCUUUUCAUCCUGUUAAAGUAACCUUUAAGAAACUAUCAUUUACCAUUGGUUACCUUGUUUUUUUUCAUUUUAUCUGAAAACAUUUGAGAAUGCAUUUCAUUCUCUCUCAACCUUAAAUUAUCAUCAUUUUAACCGUUUAACUUUGUAACAUGAUAUGAAAGACUCAAAUUGAUUCUUGCAAUAAUAACUUGAAUCUUGUUGCAUCUUAACUCACCGUUAACCCAAGCUUCGCAGCCUUAACCUUUACCUAGCUGAGUAGUUUUCAUGUUUCCUUACAAAGUUUAGUAUUAUUAUUAUAAUUUUCAUUCUAAUUCUUAUUCUUAUCAUCAACAUUAUCACCGUCAUCAACUACAAUAACAACAGACAACAAAAACAUCAUCAUCAUGAGGUAGUAACUGGAUAUCAAUGUGAUUGUGAUCUGGGCAAAAACAAUGGUAAAGGAGAGGAAAGGAUAAAAAAGAUGAAUGUAAAGUUAACCAUGAUUGGAAACGUAUCCACGGAUCUUGUAAACACAUUCACUAAAUACAUUUCUCUACAUUCUAAUAUCAAAUGAUGCGAAGUAAUGAUUUUCUCCCUGUUUUCGGUUUACAUCAUCAUUUGCCAACAAUAGCCAUCUUAAUGAAUUGAAACGGACAAAAUUGCCCAUUGUUAAGUGAAAAUGCCGAAAGCAUUGGAUUUCAUUGGUCAAAGUUACCCCAUAAAUACAGUGUAUGAUGGACAAUGUUAUUUUUUCACAUGGAUGAUCGCUUUGAUGCAAAGGAAAAAGGUUGAAAUAAAAAAAGGCUUUAAGAACUGAAAUAACUGGAAGAAAAGCUGAUGUUAAAGGAAGGCAAAGAAAGAGAGGGAAAUAAGAGGAAAAAGCAACAACAGCAACCCAAACAACCACAUGAACAAGAGAGAAAAACCAAGGAAAAGAAACAAUUCUCCCCUCAAGCCACCGGAUAGCCAAGGAAUCUUCUUCUUUCCUCCAAUUUAUCUGGUCUUUUCAAUCCUGAUUCCACUCUAUUUCAUCAAUAAUUUUUCAUUCUCCAUUUUCUGACUUCUCAUCCUUUUCCCUUUUCUACUCCUCUUAUUUCAACUUCCAACAUCAUCAUCAUCACUAUCAUCACAGCAUUCAUUUUAACCUCUCCCUCCUACUAACUCAAUGAUAUUUUACACCUCGUACAUUGAAUUUCCUUAUUGUCUUUUACAGCUACAUAAGUCUCACAAGAAAGUUCAAUAGAUUUGUUAUAACUGGCCACUUGAGGCUCAUUGAUCUGAUGCAUACACAUACAUACAAAAAUAUCGCCUCUUCAUCCUCCUUCGCCUCCUCCAUUUCUCUCUCUUUCUCUUCUUUCUUUCUGCAUAUCAAGCGCAUAAAUUUUUUCUCACUUCUUACUCUUCGCCCUCUUAAUCUUCUCUCUUCAUCUCUCUUCAUCUUCUUUCCUCUUCUUAUAUUUUGUCUACACUUUAGAGUCAAAGUGGUGCUUCUCAUCUUUCCCAAUGUUCAACGAUAGAUUGCUUGUUAUCCCCAUAAGUCAAAUUGACCUUGUUGAUAUGCGAAUACGUGCUUCCUAAAAUCUUUUGGUCUAUUAAGGAGGAAAAGGCAGUGAAAAUAAAAAGAAGAGAAAAAAAGAGGAGGAAAAAUGAAGAAGAAUCAAGGAGCAGCAGAAAUUGAGCACACAGACUGUCUUAUUGUACACUCCAUGGUUAUUUCCCUUGUGAACACAUCGAUCAAGAACUGGAUCCACAAUCUUAACUUUCAUCCAUGAUUGCAUCUUCCAUGUCAAUCUAAUCAAGGGCAAUAAGAAAAAGAAAGCAAGACUCUCGCAUCCCAAAGAUGUCCAUCAUUUUUCGUUAUCGCCAUUUUCGGGGUGUUUUCCCUCGUAAGAAAGCAAAUAAUUUAAUGGUGGAAACAUUUACUUUUUUGUUGAUUGUAAACCAAUGUUGAGGUAAUUAGAUCUAACCAUGUUAAACCCUCCAAGCCAUAUUUGCCUUGAAGGAUGGAAAAAUGUGAACCAAGAUAAAAACUCAAUCGACAAUUAUUUAACUAACAACUUUCAACUUUAUUACAAAGCAAAGUAUCAUAAAAAACAACAAAAUCAUCAACAAAUUAUAGAUGUAAAAACUGAAUCCUCAGGAGAUACCAUUGAUGUAGGUGUUAAUGGCAAAGGAAUAGUCAUGGUUGUACCUGAAGCCAUGAUAAGCCAGGAGUAAAAAAACGAGUAAAAUUCACAAUGAUGCUUAUGGUUGCAACUUAACAAGACUAAGCAAUGGAACCUUGGUUAAAGACGAAAACAUGGAAAAGUAAAUCAUGUUUUAGAGCAAAAAAAGGUCUGGUUCAUGUUGAUAAUCAACAUGAUUAAAGUCUGGUACAAGAAAGAAGUCUUAAAGUUUCUGUGCCUCAUUGAAUUUACCACUCCCUGGGUGAUGGAGAAGAUGAAAAAGGAUAAUCUCUUCAUCAUCUUCAUCUCUUUACCUUACUUUCUCCUAAUUUUACAACAUUCACCAGGAAUGGAAAUGGCAACAAGAAGAAGAAAAAACUUUAUCCAUAAAAGUUUAAACAUUAUUACAUUAGUCUCAACUUGUUCAGGGAUGAAUCAAAGCUACAAUCAAAUUUUACCUCAUUGGAUAAUUAGAUAACACCAAUUGGAUAAUUUGUCAAGAUAAGUUCAAUCAACUCAACAAGAAACCUGUUAUUUCCACUACAAAGCUCAUUUUCUCACAAGGAUGAAGGAAUCAAUUUUUGGCUUGACCAACAUCUUGAACUUUUGCUGCUGCCUUCACACUAAACACGUUAUGUUAUUAUCAUUAAUAAUUGGAAUAACCUUUCCUUCAUCUUCACCAUCAGACCAAAAUACUAUCAUCUUGAAUGUGUUUACAAAGUAAAGGUGGCAAAUGGCUAAAGGAACCUCAAAAAAGGAACCGUAAAUCAGGCGAAAUUUAAAAUGUGAAUUUAUCCCAAAAAAAUUCAUUUUGAAAAUUAUACAAAUUGACUAUGAAAAUGCAAGUAUGCCAAGACGUAACCUUAAAGGAGGAAACCAAAUUGAAUUGAAUCGUGAUCACAUUGAACGCUGUUUAUUGUUCAUUUCAAGUUGAGGUCAAUGGUUAAAGAUGAAAGGUUGCUUAUUAAUUGAAAAAAUUUGAAUGUAAAACACACUUCAAAUUGAUAAUAUAAUGGAAUAUUUAAUAACAAUAAUAAUAACAUACUUAUAAAGAUUAUCAUUAGGAUGUUGGUGGAAAGUCAAAGGAGAGCAAAAAGUAAAUUUGGAUUCAAUUUGGGACAUUAAACGAUGAAAAUAGCAAAGAAAUUGUUCCUUACCUUAAUAACGCUGAAUAUCAUCAUCAUUGUGCUACUUUGAACGUUUUCUGGAUCUCAAUUUUUAAGUUUAAAGAUUAUUUCCUUCACCUUUCCAUUGGAAAUUUUCAUCUCUAUUCAAGUCAUAAUAGCCAUCAACCAUCAUCAUCAUCAACAACAACAACAGCAACUUCAACACCACCACCUAAACUAUUAACAAACAUUUGAUUAUAUUGAGCUUCUAAAGAUUAGGCGAUUCCUUUGUAAUUUAUUUUACCAUUUAAAAUGACCAUAAAUAUAUUUAUGGUCAUUCAACGUUUCUCUUAGCAAACACAAUCAGUUUUCACAAAGAAAAAGGUAAACACCUUCAAGUUUUUACCUUAUUUUUCAUCUACUAUUCAAAUGUUGAGCUUCCGUCUCUCAACAUUUACAUUCAUCAUAAUUAUCAUCACCUUAACAGUCCAUGAUAAUCAGCAUUAUUGUCUCUCACAAUUAUGUAACCUUUUUUACCCAGUUUUACCUAUUUCCCUCUCUCCCACAAUUGAACCAUCAUCUUAAUGAUAAUAUCUGUUUGAUACUCAUUUAAUGAUGAUUACUUUAAUUGUAUUACCAUUAUUACCAUCACAUGUUCAAAUAUAUCAAAUUGUGGUUAAUUUUGAUGUAGUAGGUGGUCGGUUAAUUGGUUAUUUAGUUGUUUAGUUAUUAGGCGUUUAUACUUUUGUUUUGGCCUCAAAAGCUCCAAACCAUUUGCUUUACAAUCAACCUACAAUCGUUGGUUCUUCUCAGUUGAUUUUACUUUCAUUUAAUUCAUCAUUUUUCAUCAACAUUUUCAAUUAAAUCAUGACAAUGAUGAUGGUUGAUGGUUAACGUUGUUUGUGUGUGUAAUUACAAUAUGUCACGGGUUAAGUCAAUCAAAGUGUAUAACCAAAUUAACCUGUUAUCCAUUCAGAUUGUAACCGUGUGAAUCCAUUUUAAAGCCAAAAAGAGUUUCACUUUUUUAUCUUUAAUCUAUUUCUCCUCGUCAGACCUAAAUAUUAGCAUUGAUUGAUAUAAAAAUUAUUUGAUCAACAAUCAUAUUUUUACCUCAUUUGAUUGAUAUCUGAAUGAAAAGCUGAUUGAUGAAUUUACGGGGAAAAAACAAGUAAACAAAAGCUGAUCAAGAGUUGGAUACAAGCGUACAAAGUAAUGACAGGCAGCCAAGAAAAAAGGAGAAACAUUAGCAUCAAAAUCAACAAAAGGAGUUUGAAACAUGAGAAGAAAGCAAAAAUAUUUUCCAAAUUAUCAACAAAUAUAUAUUUUUUGGUCAUUUGUUGAUGUCAAUGAAAUUGCUUUCAAUGUGGAUAUCAAUGGACAGUUUUUUAUUCCUGUCAACAUGAGUUUACCAAUGUUGAUUGUUGCCCAAGAUAAUAUUUCAUCUCAACAACAGCAACAAAGUGAAAUACACUUUUCUCCCUGAUUUGUCAACAAUUUAACAACAAUCAAAUGGAAAAGAAAUGGUCAGCAAAACAUUGAUUGGAAAUCAUAAAAUCAGCAUUUCUAUUGACUCUCUCGAUUUUCAAGUUUAUAAAUGAUGGCAAUUUUAAUCAUUGCUUUGCAGACAAUUUACUCUGAUUAAUUCAUGUCCAGCUUGACUUAAAAAUGUCUAUUGGAAAUGGCUUCACUCAAUAAUUUGGAGACUAAAUUGCAAGGAUAAAUUGAAGUUUCUAAUUAACCCAUGGACAAGCAAAUGGUGUAUCACAAUCGUAAACAGAAGCUGCAGUCAAAGGGUAAUGACUACAAAGAAGUCAAAUAUAAUUUAAGUUUGAACAAUCGAAACUGGACAUUUGCCAAUGGACACUUUGCCUGCUACAAAUGAUUCCAUUGAUGCCGAUCAAGAAUGGACAGUUUACUCUGUGUGUUGAUGCAGAUGUUUGUUCAUGGUUAUCUCUAUCAUUAUCAUCAUUAGUUGUUACCUGUUGAGAAAAAGGACACAUUUUUUUCUGGUCAAUUUUUGGUCAUUUUCUGUCUACUUUCUUGCCCUUGUUGAACCAACAAAUUACAUUAGACUUCGCAGAGAGAUAAAAAAUAAGGCCAAAAAAUUGUGAGCUCACAAUGACUUUCCAAAGAUUAUUACGAUUGCGUUUCUAUUGAACAAAAACAACAAACAAACAACUAAUACACAAAUACAAAAUGGAAAAAGAAAGGAAAAGAAUUGUGGUUAAAGAACAAGUUUUUCAUGGAAUAAUGGAAAGCAAAGAAGACAAGAGAAGAUUGUUCACUGAAGGAAGGCGCAUAAAGGAAAUGAAAAUGAACAUGAUUGGUGUUGAUUAACAUGAAGACAAGACUGAACGAGAUUGAUUGUGGCCUUGAAUGUUUUUAAUUAUGAUUGGCAGUUUCCUUUGCAUUUAUUUAUAAUUUUCAUCAACCUCGGUUAAACUGUUGUUGAGUGUAUAAGGCAAACCUUGUUGACAGUAUUUCAUAUUUCACCAGAUAAGUAACCUUAGCAAUUUUUGUCAUCGCCUUUUAAAUCAUAAUCAUUAUCAUCAUUAUUUCCUUACUUCACUCUUCAUCAUCAUCAUCCUUUCCAUGAAGAUGAAGGAGAAAAAAAAAUUAACCGAUUCAGCUUUGUAUAGAAGAUAUGAAAUCUUUUUUUUCUGCAAAAAGAUUACCAUUAAUCCGUUUACUUUUUUCUUCCUCCUUUUUCUUGCUGGUUUAUAAAACUUUAUUUAUAAUGUAUAUAUAUUUUGAUAAUAUAACAUUCAAGAUUUACUCGUAUCUCAACAAUUAAUGUUUACUUCUCGUUGAGGUUAACAACAAGAUUAACUGUUGAUGAUUCCUGUAUGUUUAUCCCUUUAAACAUAACAUUGAAAACUUCAUUUCAGGCCGAUCAAUUUUGACCAGUUUUAAGGAAACAUUGACUUGAUCCAAUUUCCUGAUGUUAACAAAGUUAACAUUUGUUUUUUUUCAGUUCAGAGUAUUUACAAAUUUCGUAUGAAAAAGAAAUGAAUGUGAAAAUUUUUAGCUUAAUGAUAAUCAAAGGAACCUAAUUUUUACUUCAGAUUUUUGCUUGAAAUUGUUCUUUGUUUUUUCUUUGUAUUUUUCAUUGUAAAUCUCAUUUGUUAUCGCUAAAUCACAAUGAAACAUCUGAAAGAGUUGAACAUUACUUUGAAAAUGAUAAACUUUUAUAGCUGAAAAGAAUCAGAACUUCUCUAUCUUUUUCAGAUCUUAACCAUUGAUCAUUCUUCAUGUUCAUCUCAAACUUUAUUUCAUCUUGUGAAGAAGAAAAAAAAUCUUGUAACAAUCAAUGAUAAUAAAUAACUUUUCCUCUUCUUUUUUUCAGCUUUUUUGAAAUGGCAAGAAAAGCCAAUGGAACAAAAUGGAUACAAAUCGAUGACUAUAAAGAGUUUGGAUGGUGAUUAUGAUAAUUGUCAUGAUUAUCUUGCACUACAAGAUAAAUGCAAGUGAAAGAUGAUUAACUAUUGACUGAAGUCAAAUGAAAUUAUGAACAUUGAACAACCACAACAACAGCAAGAGAAAACCAUUGAUAUUGAAGAAUAAUGAAAAGAAGGAGAAAAAAAGGAAAAAAAUGGAAAAGGUUCGAUUAUAAUCAAUUCAAUUGGAGAUUUAAAUCACGAUUUUGCAUUGUAACAUGGCACCAACUGUUCAGGAUCAUCUGUAAUAAUGUUAAAAAUGAAACACAAUUGGCCCAAGAAAUUGAAAGGAAAUACAAAAACAUUGAACAAAAACAGAACAAUUUUCAAGAGGAAAAUGAACAAGUUUUUGGUAACAAACAAGCCCGUUGGUCAUCAACAACCAUGUACGAUGUAUUGUGUCGCUUGGUGUCCACAUUGUGUUAUAGAUGAUGGGCACUUGUAUGGGAACACAAAAGGACUAAACAUAAAUAUACAAUUUUUAUCGCUGUUAUAAUUUUCAACAAUUGGUAAAGGAGCCAAUUCUUGAGGCUAAACGCAAUCGUCAACUAAACAAGCAACAAUCAAGUUGACAAAAAAAAAGAGCUAAUCUUCAAAUUGAAUUUACUUGGCCAAGAUUUGAUCUGGGAAUAGUGAAUAAGGAGAAACCUUGCAAGACAAAAUGUUGGGAGAAAA